UAGGGAAUAUUGCACAAUGGGGGAAACCCUGAUGCAGCGACGCCGCGUGAGUGAUGAAGGCCUUCGGGUCGUAAAGCUCUGUUGAACGGGAAGAAACAAAUGACGGUACCGUUUAAGAAAGGAUCGGCUAACUUCGUGCCAGCAGCCGCGGUAAUACGAGGGAUCCUAGCGUUGUUCGGAAUCAUUGGGCGUAAAGAGUAUGUAGGCGGCCUAGUAAGUCAGUUGUGAAAGCCCCGGGCUCAACCCGGGAAGUGCAAUUGAUACUGCUUGGCUUGAAUGUGGAAGAGGGCAGUAGAAUUCCAGGUGUAGUGGUGAAAUACGUAGAUAUCUGGAGGAAUACCGGUGGCGAAGGCGGCUGCCUGGUCCUACAUUGACGCUGAGAUACGAAAGCGUGGGGAGCAAACAGGAUUAGAUACCCCAGUAGUCCCUGAGCGGGCUGGCAAGGCGCAU
RNAcentral lists this ribosomal RNA (450 nucleotides) under uncultured bacterium. RNAcentral describes it as "bacterial SSU rRNA". It matches the Rfam family "Bacterial small subunit ribosomal RNA", at positions 355 to 825 of the family's 1533-position model. The record is from RNAcentral.